UGGGGAAUCUUGGACAAUGGGGGCAACCCUGAUCCAGCCAUGCCGCGUGAGUGAUGAAGGCCUUAGGGUCGUAAAGCUCUUUCGCCUGUGAAGAUAAUGACGGUAGCAGGUAAAGAAACCCCGGCUAACUCCGUGCCAGCAGCCGCGGUAAUACGGAGGGGGUUAGCGUUGUUCGGAAUUACUGGGCGUAAAGCGCACGUAGGCGGACCAGAAAGUUGGGGGUGAAAUCCCGGGGGCUCAACCCCGGAACUGCCUCCAAAACUAUUGGUCUAGAGUUCGAGAGAGGUGAGUGGAAUUCCAAGUGUAGAGGUGAAAUUCGUAGAUAUUUGGAGGAACACCAGUGGCGAAGGCGGCUCACUGGCUCGAUACUGACGCUGAGGUGCGAAAGUGUGGGGAGCAAACAGGAUUAGAUACCCUGGGUAGUCCACACCGUAAAACGAUGAAUGCCAGUCGUCGGGUAGCAUGCUAUUCGGUGACACACCUAACGGAUUAAGCAUUCCGCCUGGGGAGUACGGUCGCAAGAUUAAAACUCAAAUGAAUU
This 541-nucleotide ribosomal RNA is filed under the name uncultured bacterium. RNAcentral's name for it is "bacterial SSU rRNA". It matches the Rfam family "Bacterial small subunit ribosomal RNA", at positions 355 to 911 of the family's 1533-position model. The record is from RNAcentral.